This 780-nucleotide ribosomal RNA is filed under the name uncultured Gammaproteobacteria bacterium. Its description in RNAcentral is "bacterial SSU rRNA". It matches the Rfam family "Bacterial small subunit ribosomal RNA", at positions 9 to 795 of the family's 1533-position model. The record is from RNAcentral. Lineage: Bacteria; Pseudomonadati; Pseudomonadota; Gammaproteobacteria.
GAGUUUGAUCCUGGCUCAGGACGAACGCUGGCGGCGCGCCUAAUGCAUGCAAGUCGAGCGACGCAUUCCUUAGCCCGUAAGGGCGGGUUUGACGGAGCGGCGAACGGGUGCGUAACACGUGACCAAUCUGCCCCGAAGACCGGGAUAGCCCGGGGAAACCCGGAUUAAUACCGGAUGAUCUCAUAGCAACGCAUGUUGGGAUGAGCAAAGGUUCAGGCGCUUCGGGAUGAGGUCGCGGCCCAUCAGCUUGUUGGUGAGGUAACGGCUCACCAAGGCAACGACGGGUAGCUGGUCUGAGAGGACGAUCAGCCACACUGGAACUGAGAUACGGUCCAGACUCCUACGGGAGGCAGCAGCAGGGAAUCUUGCGCAAUGGGCGAAAGCCUGACGCAGCGACGCCGCGUGCGGGAAGAAGGCCUUCGGGUUGUAAACCGCUUUUCUGAGGGAAGAGAAAGGACGGUACCUCAGGAAUAAGCCUCGGCUAACUACGUGCCAGCAGCCGCGGUGAUACGUAGGAGGCAAGCGUUGUCCGGAUUUACUGGGCGUAAAGGGCGAGUAGGCGGCCCGCUAAGUCUCAUGUGAAAUCUCCCGGCUCAACUGGGAGGGGUCAUGAGAAACUGGCAGGCUUGAGGUCAGCAGAGGAAAGCGGAAUUCCCGGAGUAGCGGUGAUAUGCGUAGAUACCGGGAGGAACACCAGAGGCGAAGGCGGCUUUCUGGGCUGCACCUGACGCUGAGGCGCGAAAGCGUGGGGAGCGAACCGGAUUAGAUACCCUGGUAGUC